Molecule: ribosomal RNA, 746 nt
Filed under: Salmonella enterica
Lineage: Bacteria; Pseudomonadati; Pseudomonadota; Gammaproteobacteria; Enterobacterales; Enterobacteriaceae
Description: partial 23S ribosomal RNA
Rfam family: Bacterial large subunit ribosomal RNA
Source: RNAcentral
GGUUAAGCGACUAAGCGUACACGGUGGAUGCCCUGGCAGUCAGAGGCGAUGAAGGACGUGCUAAUCUGCGAUAAGCGCCGGUAAGGUGAUAUGAACCGUUAUAACCGGCGAUUUCCGAAUGGGGAAACCCAGUGUGACUCGUCACACUAUCAUUAACUGAAUCCAUAGGUUAAUGAGGCGAACCGGGGGAACUGAAACAUCUAAGUACCCCGAGGAAAAGAAAUCAACCGAGAUUCCCCCAGUAGCGGCGAGCGAACGGGGAGGAGCCCAGAGCCUGAAUCAGCAUGUGUGUUAGUGGAAGCGUCUGGAAAGGCGCGCGAUACAGGGUGACAGCCCCGUACACAAAAGCGCAUGUGCUGUGAGCUCGAUGAGUAGGGCGGGACACGUGGUAUCCUGUCUGAAUAUGGGGGGACCAUCCUCCAAGGCUAAAUACUCCUGACUGACCGAUAGUGAACCAGUACCGUGAGGGAAAGGCGAAAAGAACCCCGGCGAGGGGAGUGAAAAAGAACCUGAAACCGUGUACGUACAAGCAGUGGGAGCCCCACCACUAAGCCAGUGGUGAACUCCACAUACGCAUCCUUUGCUGAGGAUACGGUUAACGGAGCGAAAGCGACGUUCAACCUCAAAAGAAGCAGAGGGGGCUUAGUGGUGGGGUGACUGCGUACCUUUUGUAUAAUGGGUCAGCGACUUAUAUUCUGUAGCAAGGUUAACCGAAUAGGGGAGCCGGAGGGAAACCGAGUCUUAAC